This 440-nucleotide ribosomal RNA is filed under the name uncultured bacterium. RNAcentral's name for it is "partial 16S ribosomal RNA". It matches the Rfam family "Bacterial small subunit ribosomal RNA", at positions 338 to 795 of the family's 1533-position model. The record is from RNAcentral.
CCUACGGGAGGCAGCAGUGGGGGAUAUUGCACAAUGGGGGAAACCCUGAUGCAGCGACGCCGCGUGGGUGAAGAAGCGCCUCGGCGCGUAAAGCCCUGUCAGCAGGGAAGAAAAUGACGGUACCUGAAGAAGAAGCCCCGGCUAACUACGUGCCAGCAGCCGCGGUAAUACGUAGGGGGCAAGCGUCAUCCGGAUUUACUGGGUGUAAAGGGGGCGCAGACGGCGAUGCAAGCCAGGAGUGAACGCCCGGGGCCCAACCCCGGGACUGCUCUUGGAACUGCGUGGCUAGAGUGCAGGAGGGGCAGGCGGAAUGCCUGGUGGAGCGGUGAAAUGCGUAGAUAUCAGGAGGAACACCGGUGGCGAAGGCGGCCUGCUGGACUGCAACUGACGUUGAGGCCCGAAAGCGUGGGGAGCAAACAGGAUUAGAUACCCGGGUAGUC